UGGGGAAUAUUGGGCAAUGGGCGAAAGCCUGACCCAGCGACGCCGCGUGGGUGAGGAAGGCCUUCGGGUCGUAAAGCUCUGUCGGGUGGAAAGAAACGUAUAGAUGUUAAUAGCAUUUAUACUUGACGGUACCGCCAAAGGAAGCACCGGCUAACUCCGUGCCAGCAGCCGCGGUAAUACGGGGGGUGCAAGCGUUAAUCGGAAUUACUGGGCGUAAAGCGUGCGCAGGCGGUUCGUUAAGACAGAUGUGAAAUCCCCGGGCUUAACCUGGGAACUGCAUUUGUGACUGGCGAGCUAGAGUAUGGCAGAGGGGGGUAGAAUUCCACGUGUAGCAGUGAAAUGCGUAGAGAUGAGGAGGAACACCAGUGGCGAAGGCGGCCACCUGGACAGUAACUGACGCUGAGGCGCGAAAGUGUGGGUAGCAAACAGG
RNAcentral lists this ribosomal RNA (430 nucleotides) under uncultured bacterium. Its description in RNAcentral is "bacterial SSU rRNA". It matches the Rfam family "Bacterial small subunit ribosomal RNA", at positions 355 to 776 of the family's 1533-position model. The record is from RNAcentral.